CGCUGGCGGCGUGCCUAACACAUGCAAGUCGAGCGAUGAGGCUCCCUUCGGGGAGUACAUCAGCGGCGGACGGGUGAGUAACACGUGGGUGAUCUACCCUAAAGACGGGAUAACUUCUGGAAACAGGAGCUAAUACCCGACGAGCUCGGUAGUUCGGUCUAUUGAGCAAAGGUUACGAUGCUUUAGGAUGAGCCCGCGGCCCAUCAGCUAGUUGGUAGGGUAAAGGCCUACCAAGGCGAAGACGGGUAGGGGGCGUGAGAGCGUGACCCCCCACACUGGCACUGAAACACGGGCCAGACUCCUACGGGAGGCAGCAGUGAGGGAUAUUGCGCAAUGGAGGAAACUCUGACGCAGCGACGCCGCGUGGGUGAAGAAGGCCUUCGGGUCGUAAAGCCCUUUUAUGGGGGAAGAGAAAGGACGGUACCCCAUGAAUAAGCCCCGGCUAACUACGUGCCAGCAGCCGCGGUAAAACGUAGGGGGCAAGCGUUAUCCGGAUUUACUGGGCGUAUAGAGCGUUGAGGCGGCGCUGUAAGUUGGACGUGAAAGCCCCGGGCCCAACCCGGGGGGGCCGUUCAAUACUGCAGGCGUUGAGGUCAGCAGAGGGAGAUGGAAUUC
This 615-nucleotide ribosomal RNA is filed under the name uncultured organism. Its description in RNAcentral is "bacterial SSU rRNA". It matches the Rfam family "Bacterial small subunit ribosomal RNA", at positions 34 to 669 of the family's 1533-position model. The record is from RNAcentral.